GCCCUAGUAGCUCAGUGUAAGAGCGCCGGUCUUGUAAUCCGGAGGCCGGAGGUUAAAACCCUCCCUAGUGCUC
Molecule: transfer RNA, 73 nt
Filed under: Thymallus arcticus (Arctic grayling)
Lineage: Eukaryota; Metazoa; Chordata; Actinopteri; Salmoniformes; Salmonidae
Description: tRNA-Thr
Rfam family: tRNA
About the family: Transfer RNA (tRNA) molecules are approximately 80 nucleotides in length. Their secondary structure includes four short double-helical elements and three loops (D, anti-codon, and T loops).
Source: RNAcentral